RNAcentral lists this ribosomal RNA (260 nucleotides) under uncultured prokaryote. RNAcentral's name for it is "partial 16S ribosomal RNA". It matches the Rfam family "Bacterial small subunit ribosomal RNA", at positions 524 to 782 of the family's 1533-position model. The record is from RNAcentral.
UACGUAGGGUGCGAGCGUUGUCCGGAAUUACUGGGCGUAAAGAGCUCGUAGGUGGUUUGUCGCGUCGUCUGUGAAAUUCCGGGGCUUAACUUCGGGCGUGCAGGCUAUACGGGCAAUACUUGAGUGCUGUAGGGGAGACUGGAAUUCCUGGUGUAGCGGUGGAAUGCGCAGAUAUCAGGAGGAACGCCGAUGGCGAAGGCAGGUCUCUGGGCAGUAACUGACGCUGAGGAGCGAAAGCAUGGGUAGCGAACAGGAUUAGA